UCUCUGGUGGUCAAGUGGUUAAGAAUCUGCCUGCCAGUGCAGGGGACGUAGGUUCGAUCCCUGCUCUGGGAA
This 72-nucleotide transfer RNA is filed under the name Bos taurus (domestic cattle). It matches the Rfam family "tRNA". From Rfam's summary of the family: Transfer RNA (tRNA) molecules are approximately 80 nucleotides in length. The record is from Rfam by way of RNAcentral. Lineage: Eukaryota; Metazoa; Chordata; Mammalia; Artiodactyla; Bovidae. RNAcentral also lists the same sequence under 2 other names.